RNAcentral lists this long non-coding RNA (1274 nucleotides) under Helianthus annuus (common sunflower). Lineage: Eukaryota; Viridiplantae; Streptophyta; Magnoliopsida; Asterales; Asteraceae. The record is from RNAcentral.
AUGGGCUUAUGGUAUCGGUUCUCUCAAUUUUUCUUUCCAACAGUCUCUUUCACAGUUCGGUUUAGGGUUUGAGCGAAUAUUGUUUUGUUAACCUGUUAGAUCGAGAGCUGUGUGAGAAUAGGUCAUCGUGUUGGUGAUCGAUUCGUGAGCUGUGAGUUUGUUGAGAGUUUUACUUUGGUUUGAUUAGAUAUAUCUUUGUAAAAAUGUUCAGAUUCAUUUGAUUUUGUAAAGAUACCAUUGUUUUUGACAUGGUAUCAGAGCCAUCAGUGCUCUGUGGGUUAAUUAGUUCUUCUCUUCCGUUUUUUUCUUUCACCGGGUGUGAUUCUUCGUUCUAGGGUUUCAUAUUUUGGAGAUUUGGUGUCUUCUUGGAAGGUUGCACAGGUCUUACAAGAUCCGUGUUGUUCUUGUCGGUUGAAGAAGAUUGAUCGGAGUCAGUCUUGGUCGUUCGAGUGAAGAUUUAGGGGUUCUUGAAGUAUUGGUGAAUCGGAGCUCUUCUAAGAGUUCUUGGGUGAAUCGGAGUAUUAGGGUUCCGAUUGUUCAUCCGCUGACUUAGCUUGGGUGUUCUUCUACAGAUCUGUACCGGAGUUCUUGACUUGUGCUAUCGUUCGAGUAUCCACUGUUAUGGAGUCUUGUUUGGUCAGGCGCAUCUGCCGAUUUCAGAUUGUGUUCUCGAGAAGUGUGCCAGUGCAGAAUAGUAAAACCCAACUCUAGGGUUGUGCAGACGUUUGAGAAGAAGUUAAUACUCGUUGGUCUCUGUAUUCAAUAAGAAUACAGGGCAUACCAACAGUCUUGCUGCUGGACUAUUCUUCUUGCAGUAUCUUGUAGCCAUAAGUGAAGGCUACAAGACUGUAUAGCUCGGAGUUAACCGCUUCAAGUUGUUUACGAUUCUUGGUUGGAUUGCCCUGACUAUAAUUGUCGCUGGGCUGAAUCUUUGGAGCAGUUAUUGGGCUUAUCAGUUGCGAAAGGGAGCAGAUGGGCUUAUGGUAUCGAUCUGCUAUAUUAAAGUGUUAGAUACGGAAGAUUGUGAAGGAUGGUCCAUUAGGUUCUCUCAAUUUUUCUUUCCAACAGUCUCUUUCACAGUUCGGUUUAGGGUUUGAGCGAAUAUUGUUUUGUUAACAUGUUAGAUCGAGAGCUGUGUGAGAAUAGGUCAUCGUGUUGUUGAUCGAUUCGUGAGCUGUGAGUUUGUUGAGAGUUUUACUUUAGUUUGAUUAGAUAUAUCUUUGUAAAAAUGUUCAGAUUCAUUUGAUUUUGUAAAGAUACCAUUGUUUUUGACA